This 274-nucleotide ribosomal RNA is filed under the name uncultured bacterium. Its description in RNAcentral is "partial 16S ribosomal RNA". It matches the Rfam family "Bacterial small subunit ribosomal RNA", at positions 523 to 796 of the family's 1533-position model. The record is from RNAcentral.
AUACGGAGGGUGCGAGCGUUAAUCGGAAUUACUGGGCGUAAAGCGCGCGUAGGCGGUUUGGUCAGUCGGAUGUGAAAGCCCUAGGCUCAACCUGGGAAUUGCAUUCGAUACUGCUUAACUAGAGUAUGGUAGAGGGAAGUGGAAUUUCCGGUGUAGCGGUGAAAUGCGUAGAUAUCGGAAGGAACACCAGUGGCGAAGGCGACGUCCUGGGCCAAUACUGACGCUGAGGUGCGAAAGCGUGGGGAGCAAACAGGAUUAGAAACCCCAGUAGUCC